Molecule: long non-coding RNA, 1591 nt
Filed under: Mytilus galloprovincialis (Mediterranean mussel)
Lineage: Eukaryota; Metazoa; Mollusca; Bivalvia; Mytilida; Mytilidae
Source: RNAcentral
UUAAAAUCAAUUGUAGACUGAUGUGGUACAAGACAGCCAUAGUUACUUCCCUUGGAUCUUGAAUUGGCAUUGUGAAAAGGAUAAAGAAAAAAAUAGAAUUGAAUGAUAAAUAUGAAAGAAAGAAAAAGGAAGGAAGGUAACAAAGAUGCAAGGUAGUAACAGGGAAUUCAAUAAAUUAUAACAUCUUUUAUUUUUUUUUUUAUUCUAGCCUGAUAAUCUAAUAAGAUAUGAGCUAACCAGAUAUCUAGGAAAUAGGAUUUGGGAAUAAUAAUGUCUGUUUUAAAAAUAUGAAACUGAAAAUUUACUCUUUACAGUGAAUAUAGUUUUAUUUAUAGUUUUGCCUCUUUAUAACUCCAGAACUGGGGCAUAUCUUAUGCACCCAUAUCUGUCUUUUUAUUCUUCAGUUUUCCAAAAUCUAACAGCGGUGUGAACUUUGAAAUUUCAAUUUCAUUAUGCUUGUUCAUGAUGAAGCAAUUAUUGAUUCAUGAUCAUGAAUGUUAGUUAAUUAAUUUCAGAUCAAGCUUUUGUUUUCUUUGUAAUGACACACUUGUCACUGAGUUAUAAAGGUCCUUGAACUUGAAAAUUUCAUGAAAAUUGUACUCAGGUUUUUUCAUUAUGAGUGUAGAUACUUUUCUGAUUAUUGAUUCAUUUAUAAGGGUAUGAUUUGAGUUUCAGAUCUGGUUCAUAAUUUCAUUGCAGAUGACCCAAUUUUCAUCAAUAUUUGUCAGUUUUUCUAAGGUCAAGGUCACAGACGUAUUGAUAUUUGGGGAAAAGUUUUUUCUUUCCAGAAUUUGAUCCUUAUCAUUCUGUAAUAGAUAAAUGAAUUUUGGUGUAAAAGUUCUUAAAACAUUAUCAAAAUUUAUUUGAUUUGCAAUUACAGUAGCUGAUUUUAAGAUCUCAAAUAUUAAUUUAAAAAAUUUGGCAGUCUCUCCUGGAAUUGCGUUUUUCCUUGAAAUGCUUCCAGAAAAUUAAAAGAAAUUGUGAAAUUGAUUUAGACAAUAGCUUUUGAAAAUUGGUUUCUAAUAUUUCUUGUUCCAUCAUUAUAUUUCUAAACAAAAGCAGAAAAAAAAGUUUUUAUUGAAGUUGCCAAUUAUAAUUCUAUCUUAGUACAUGCUGUUGGCAAGGAAUUUCAGUACAAUCCAGUCAUUUGUAGAUUAUUAUGGAAAUAAAUCUGCCAUUUACUCUUUGAUCUAGUUGUACUGCAUCUUUUGUCUCUUUUUUUAUAUUGAUUCAAUGAAUUUUUAAAGCUUCCUGUUAAAACUAUCAUUUUAAUAACACAGUAAAAUUAUCAAUUGAACUGUCUGCCAUUUCACGGAAGCCGUAUGGGAAUUUAAAGUCAGUUCGAUAGGAUAUUUUGAAAACAAGAUUUAAUGUUUGAAUUAUCAAAGAAGUUCUGUUUUCUUUUUCAUUGUUUUAUUAUUUUCAAAGUUAAGCUUUAAAUGGAUAUAAGUACUAACAUUAGCUAUCAUUUUCCAGACAAGUACUUCCAGCUAGACUGCAAUAAAGACAUGAUGUUUUUUCAGAAAAGUUUAAUGCCAAGUUAGUAAAGAAUUAGUCUGUCAACUUAUUACAAGAAUAAAAACAGGUAGGG